GGCGAUCGAUGUCUUUGUCCAUCACGGCGUCUCCGUCUGCUGUGACAAUGAGGACCGGAGACAAAGAGCCGCUCCCUCAUUCCAACAUUGGAGUCCGAUGCGGCGGAGCGUUCAGCGGUGACCGAGGAAACAUGGAGCGCUGCGGGUCCGACACGGACGACACGCCGCUGCUUCCCCGCCGAAACGAAGACAAAGUCCAGAGAGCGCCGGCAUGCUGUUCGUCUCGUUACGGCCUGGCGCUGCUCUCCUCGUUCGGCUUCUUCGUGGUUUACUCCCUGCGGGUGAACCUCAGCGUGGCCAUGGUGGACAUGCUCAACACCACCCGCCAGUCCAGCACCAACCACAGCGGCUCCGUCUGUCCGGCUCACGCCAACCCGCCGCGGCCCAAACGCAACCACACGGCCGGCGUGUACGACUGGGACUCGGCGACUCAGGGCUGGAUCCUGGGCUCCUUCUUCUACGGCUACAUCCUGACGCAGAUACCCGGCGGCUACCUGGCCGGCCGCUACGGCCCCAAGUGGCUGAUGGGCUUCGGGAUCCUGGGAACCGUCGUUUUCACGCUGCUCACCCCCGCCGCCGCCGACCUGGGGGCCGGAUACCUCAUCGCCGUCCGGGUGCUGGAAGGGAUCGGAGAGGGCGUCACCUUUCCCUCCAUGUACACCAUGUGGGCGGCCUGGGCUCCUCCGCUGGAGAGGAGCCGACUGCUCACCAUCUCCUACAUCGGAGCUCAGCUCGGGACGGUGAUCUCGCUCCCGCUGUCCGGUGAGAUCUGCUUCUACCUGGACUGGACCUACGUCUUCUACGUCUUCGGUGCCGUCGGCCUGGUCUGGUUCGUCUUGUGGUCUUUCCUCGUCUUCGACAGUCCGAACACUCACCCGCGGAUUUCGGAGCAGGAGCGACUUUACAUCACCGGCUCGCUGAAGAACGAGCUGUCCACCUCGGCGGGACACAUCCCCUGGCGAGCCAUAGCCACGUCCACGCCGCUGUGGGCCAUCGUGGUCGCUCACUUCUCCUACAACUGGACCUUCUACACGCUGCUCACCCUGCUGCCCACCUACAUGAACGACGUGCUGGGAUUCAGCAUCCAGCAGAAUCCAACAUCAUUUCUUCUGUCACGCAUGAACAACGCGACGCUCAAACGCUCCUCAGAACGGUUUGCUGUCGGCUCUUCCGUACGUCGGCUGCGCCGUGUUGGCGGUUGUCAGCGGUCAGCUGGCGGAUUACCUGCGAGAGACCUGCCUCUACCGCACGGUGACGGUCAGGAAGUCCUUCUCCCUCGCCGGGAUGAUCGGGCCCGCCGUGUUCCUGGUGGCGGCGGGAUACACGGGCUGUAACUACACGCUGGCGGUGACCUUCCUCACCGUCUCCUCGGCUCUGGGCGGAAUCUCGGCCUCCGGCUUCAACAUCAACCACCUGGACAUCGCUCCGUCGUAUGCUGGCAUCCUGCUGGGAAUCACCAACACCUUUGCCACCAUCCCCGGCAUGGUGGGGCCGGUCAUAGCCCGAGCCCUCACCCGACAGAACACCAUGGAGGAGUGGCAGAGCGUCUUCUACAUCGCCGCCGCCAUCAACGCCUUCGGGGCGGCGUUCUACGCGCUGUUCGGCCGAGGGAGCGUGCAGCCGUGGGCCGUCCACGCCGCCUCCCACGGAGACUGAGGCGGGCUCUCGGAGCCAGAUGUGCUCCAGAUGUGCUGAUCGUCGGCGGCAACUUCUUCCUUCUGGACCAAACUUUUUUUAAUUUGUAGCAAAUUGAAUAUUUCUUUUAAAGGCAAAAAUCAGCAUUGACCGGCGGACGUGAAGCCGCUUCUCGUUUCAUUUUGAAGCUUCAGGUGAAUUAAGCCGCUUGGAUCGAUGAGACCAGAAGGUGACGAAUGUAAAACAGGGAUCGGCUUAGACGGGCGAAUGAUACCAGAGGUUUUAUUUAAAGCGCUAAACUAAACUUUUAGAAUAAAUAACGUACCCAACGAACACGUGUGAAGACAAGAAAGACUUAAACGUUAGUUUAUCUGCGUCUCAUUCGCCGUCGUGCCGACCGGCACUCGAUUGUUAUUUCUUCCUCCAGGUCACAUGAUACAGAUGCUCCUGAGCUGUUGCCAUAGUAACAGUCCAAACCGCCGAGGACGGUGAGACUUCAGGACGUUUGGGGGAAAUGCCUUAAAGGGAAGCUUCUUUAAAAUGUUCACGCUCUUUUGUCUUUGUUUACUUCUCAUCCGAUGCCGUUUUAAUGUGCACAACAAUUUGUAUCGUCUUGAUUGAACGUGUUUUAGUUCAGGCAGAUUUAUUUUCACUUCAACACUAAAGAUGUUGAACUUCUGUGACGAGGAUUUAAAGGGAUGUUUGUUUACUUUCUUUGCACACGCGUGUUAUACUGGACGCGUCUUCAUACAGAAGGGAAACAUUGUCUAGUUAAUUUCAUCCUGCAGGUUUCAGAGGCUUUAUUUGUAUUUCAUUAUAUGCAGUACACAAAGGGACUUUUCUAUGACGUUAAAUUUAUUGUAAAAACCUCAAUUACAACUACGCUUAAAUCUCCUUGUGUUAUUUCAUCAUAAAACCACCUGGAUUCUCAUUAUAAAGCUCUUUAUCCUGAUGGACAAGGAUGCAACACGUGCAAAAUAAACAUGUGAUGAAGCAGUGACAACGUUACUUCCUGAUUUGUUUAAAAUCUAAUUACUUUGCACUUCCAGGACGUGACUUAUGGCGGCUGUUUCUAGCGUCACAUGACCAUUUUCUUCAUGUAACGAUGACCCUAUUUUAAUGUUUACCUACUGAACAAUGUGCACAAAAGUAGAAUAAAGAAAUCCAGGAGAAGUGAAAAGAC
Gasterosteus aculeatus aculeatus (three-spined stickleback) is the source of this 2818-nucleotide RNA transcript. It is a transcript of the gene named solute carrier family 17 member 5, with no coding region annotated. The record is from RefSeq and is a predicted model, not a curated record. NCBI's taxonomy places the organism in Eukaryota, Metazoa, Chordata, Actinopteri, Perciformes, Gasterosteidae.